GCUGGGGAUGAUAGAUUAGACCUGUAGUCAGUCCUCGCUACAGAGGAGGCUGAGGUGGAGGCUGAAGGAUUUCUGGAGUUCAGGAGUUCUGUGCUGAAGCAGAGCUAAAGCUGUUUGGGUGUCCGCACUAAAUCUGGCACCAAUAUGAUAAGCCUCUGGGAAUGGGGGACCUCUAGGCUGCCAAGGGAGGGUUGAAAUGUCCCAGGUCAGAAAAACAGAGCAAAUGAAAGCUUCUCUGCUGAUCAGCAGUGGGAUUACAGUCAAGCUGUAAUUGGCUGCCAUACUUUCAGCCUGGGCAAGAGAGGGAGACCAGCCUCAA
This is an unclassified non-coding RNA of Vombatus ursinus (common wombat), 319 nucleotides long. It matches the Rfam family "Metazoan signal recognition particle RNA". Rfam says of the family: The signal recognition particle (SRP) is a universally conserved ribonucleoprotein. It is involved in the co-translational targeting of proteins to membranes. The eukaryotic SRP consists of a 300-nucleotide 7S RNA and six proteins: SRPs 72, 68, 54, 19, 14, and 9. The record is from Ensembl. Lineage: Eukaryota; Metazoa; Chordata; Mammalia; Diprotodontia; Vombatidae.